UAGAAUUAGAGACAAUGGAAUUUUCAUAGUCGAAAGUUAUGGCGCCGUAGGAUGGAUCUGCGGUCGAUUAGUUUGUUGUUGGGGUAACGGCCCAACAAGCCGUAAAUCGAUACGGGUGGUGGGAGCAAGAGCCCGGAGAUGGAAUCUGAGACACGAUUCCAGGCCCUACGGGGCGCAGCAGGCGCGAAAACUUUACAAUGCAGGAAACUGUGAUAAGGGAACUCCGAGUGCCCGUAUACGCGGGCUGUCCAGGUGUUUAAAAAUCAUCUGAAGAAAGGGCCGGGCAAGACCGGUGCCAGCCGCCGCGGUAAUACCGGCGGCUCGAGUGGUGGCCACUAUUAUUGGGCUUAAAGCGUCCGUAGCUGGACCGAUAAGUCUCUUGGGAAAUCCGCCGGCUCAACCGGCGGGCGUCUAAGGGAUACUGUUAGUCUAGGGACCGGGAGAGGUGAGAGGUACUCCGGGGGUAGGAGUGAAAUCCUGUAAUCCCCGGGGGACCACCGAUGGCGAAGGCAUCUCACCAGAACGGCUCCGACAGUGAGGGACGAAAGCUGGGGGAGCGAACCGGGAUUAGAUACCCGGGUAGUCCCAGCCGUAAACUAUGCGCGUUAGGUGU
RNAcentral lists this ribosomal RNA (613 nucleotides) under uncultured archaeon. RNAcentral describes it as "bacterial SSU rRNA". It matches the Rfam family "Archaeal small subunit ribosomal RNA", at positions 155 to 774 of the family's 1478-position model. The record is from RNAcentral.